AUUUAGAAGCUGGAAUGGUGAACAGAAACAAACUCGGUAGAGAAACACAAUUCGCUUAUCUUGCAAUUGCAGAGCCAUGGCCAAAAGUAUCUGGAUUUGCAAAAGUCGAUUUAUCGACAGGGGAAAUUAAAAAACAUAUAUAUGGAGAUAAACGAUAUGGAGGUGAACCAUUAUUUUUACCAAGAAAUGUGAACUCAGAAAAAGAGGACGAUGGAUAUAUUCUUGCAUUUUGCCACGACGAGAAGACAUGGAAAUCAGAACUACAAAUUGUAAAUGCCAUGACUCUAGAAUUAGAAGCUACUGUCAAGCUACCUUCAAGAGUUCCAUAUGGUUUUCAUGGGACAUUCAUUAGCUCAAAGGACUUGCAAAAUCAAGUAUAAUACCACGAAAAUUAUCGGUAUAUAUACGUACAUAUUAGAGGGAUAUUAUGUAUGUUAUAGAGGAGAUAUGUAUAAUGUUUUAAUUUUCCACAAAAUGCCAUUUUGUUGGAAUAGGGAGUUGAGAAGGG
Molecule: unclassified non-coding RNA, 508 nt
Filed under: Hevea brasiliensis (rubber tree)
Lineage: Eukaryota; Viridiplantae; Streptophyta; Magnoliopsida; Malpighiales; Euphorbiaceae
Source: RNAcentral